Molecule: long non-coding RNA, 451 nt
Organism: Ahaetulla prasina
Lineage: Eukaryota; Metazoa; Chordata; Lepidosauria; Squamata; Colubridae
Exons: 3
Source: RefSeq, a predicted model, not a curated record
UCAAGGAGUUUGAAAAUCUUGAAGGGCAUCCGAAAAUAUUUUUCAUCAAUUCACUAAUUGAUUCAUACACACUGUUUGCUUUUGUAUUGAAUUUCAGAUUGGUCUUCAGCUUUCAAGAAUGUUUAUUUCCAAGGAUAUGAGCAUUUUUAAAGGAUGAUUUCAUAAUUCAAAAGACAACAAAGAGUUUUAAAAAAUAAAGUUUCUUUAUAUUGCACACAGUAGCUUCUACAUUAACAAUAUUAUAUCAGGCUACCGAAUUUUUCCACCAUGCUGAUGGGUACUGAUUUUAUUAUUUAGAGAACAACAUGUGAAUUUUAUCGGAGAUUUUAUCUCAAGCAAGGGAAUCAGCGCAAUCUCAACAAACCAUUUCUCAAGGAAAAGAAUAUCCAGGAGCUUGACAGAAGUUUCAGAAUCACAAUUCAGGCAUGAAGAAAAAGCAGAAAAAGAAACU